CCUACGGGACGCAGCAGUGGGGAAUAUUGCGCAAUGGACGAAAGUCUGACGCAGCGACGCCGCGUGAGGGAUGAAGGUUUUCGGAUCGUAAACCUCUGUCAGGAGGGAAGAAAGCGCAUGGCGCCAAUCAGCCAUGCGUUGACGGUACCUCCAAAGGAAGCGCCGGCUAACUCCGUGCCAGCAGCCGCGGUAAUACGGAGGGCGCGAGCGUUGUCCGGAUUUAUUGGGUUUAAAGGGUGCGUAGGCGGGUUAUCAAGUCAGCGGUAAAAUCGUGGUGCUCAACUCCAUCCAGCCGUUGAAACUGG
This 305-nucleotide ribosomal RNA is filed under the name uncultured bacterium. RNAcentral describes it as "bacterial SSU rRNA". It matches the Rfam family "Bacterial small subunit ribosomal RNA", at positions 338 to 636 of the family's 1533-position model. The record is from RNAcentral.